AGGGAUCGAAAACAAUUGGUUGAAAAUGUGGUAAAAUGAGCACGUCUGGUCAGCAAGUUAAAAGAAGAGUUCGAUAGCGAGGUGUCAGUGUUAAAAAAAAGGGUCGUCAUCGCGGAAAACAAAAUACUCAAACAAGCACAAGAGUUCAAACUUGAAAGGGAACAUUGUUACAUAGCAUUGGCACAAUUAGAAUUGGAUUUGCAACAGCUUAAAAAGCAGAAUCAAGUAGCCGAACAGAUUUUGGGAGCCAGAACUGAGCAGAUUGGGCGGUUAUUGCAGGA
Molecule: long non-coding RNA, 281 nt
Filed under: Nicotiana benthamiana
Lineage: Eukaryota; Viridiplantae; Streptophyta; Magnoliopsida; Solanales; Solanaceae
Description: long non-coding RNA (NBEN_LNC038611)
Source: RNAcentral